AUUGAACGCUGGCGGAAUGCUUUACACAUGCAGGUCGAACGGCAGCACGGACUUCGGUCUGGUGGCGAGUGGCGAACGGGUGAGUAAUGUAUCGGAAAGUGCCCAGUCGUGGGGGAUAACGUAGUGAGAAUUACGCUAAUACCGCAUACGAUCUCGGGAUGACAGCGGGGGAUCGCAAGACCUCGCGCGAUUUGAGCGGCGGAUAUCGGGUUAGGUAGUUGGUGGGGUAAAAGCCGACCAAGCCAACGAUCUGUAACUGGUCUGAGAGGACGAGCAGCCACACUGGAACUGAGACACGGUCCAGACUCCUACGGGAGGCAGCAGUGGGGAGUUUUGAACAAGGGGCGAAAGCCUGAUCCAGCCAUUCCGCGUGCAGGAUGAAGGCCCUCGGGUUGUAAACUGCUUUUGUACAGAACGAAAAGGUUUCUACUAAUACUAGGAGCUCAUGACGGUACUGUAAGAAUAAGCACCGGCUAACUACGUGCCAGCCGCCGCUGUAA
Molecule: ribosomal RNA, 500 nt
Filed under: uncultured bacterium
Lineage: Bacteria
Description: partial 16S ribosomal RNA
Rfam family: Bacterial small subunit ribosomal RNA
Source: RNAcentral